AAUUAUAUACUUGAAUAAUUUUGAACGAAAGGGAAUACGGUUCCAAUUCCGUAACCUGUUGAGUAUCCGUUUGUUAUUAAAUAUGGGCCUCGUGCUCAUCCUGGCAACAGGAACGACCAUAAAGAAGCCGUCGAGAGAUAUCGGAAGAGUUUUCUUUUCUGUUUUAUAGUCGUACUACCAUGGAAGUCUUUCGCAGAGAGAUAUGGUAGAUGGGCUAGAAGAGCAUGACAUAUACUGUUGUGUCGAUAUUUUCUCCUCGGACCUUGAAAAUUUAUGGUGGGGAUACGCAAACUUCUCAACAGGCCGUACCAAUAUCCGCAGCUGGUCUCCAAGGUGAAGAGUCUCUAGUCGAUAGAAUAAUGUAGGUAAGGGAAGUCGGCAAAUUAGAUCCGUAACUUCGGGAUAAGGAUUGGCUCUGAAGAUUGAGAUAGUCGGGCUUGAUUGGGAAACAAUAAUAUGGUUUAUGUGCUCGUUCUGGGUAAAUAGAGUUUCGAUCAUUUAUGGUUGUAACUUGUUCCCCGGAUAGUUAGUUACGUAUCCAAUUGUGGAACUUUCUUGCUAAAAUUUUUAAGAAUACUAGUUGGGUCAAACCAAUUAGUUCUUAUUAAUUAUAACGAUUAUCAAUUAACAAUCAAUUCAGAACUGGCACGGACUUGGGGAAUCCGACUGUCUAAUUAAAACAAAGCAUUGUGAUGGCCCUAGCGGGUGUUGACACAAUGUGAUUUCUGCCCAGUGCUCUGAAUGUCAAAGUGAAGAAAUUCAAGUAAGCGCGGGUCAACGGCGGGAGUAACUAUGACUCUCUUAAGGUAGCCAAAUGCCUCGUCAUCUAAUUAGUGACGCGCAUGAAUGGAUUAACGAGAUUCCUACUGUCCCUAUCUACUAUCUAGCGAAACCACAGCCAAGGGAACGGGCUUGGAAUAAUUAGCGGGGAAAGAAGACCCUUUUGAGCUUGACUCUAAUCUGGCAGUGUAAGGAGACAUAAGAGGUGUAGAAUAAGUGGGAGAUAUUAGACUUCGGUUUGGUAUCGCCAAUGAAAUACCACUACUCUUAUUGUUUCCUUACUUACUUGAUUAAAUGGAACGUGUAUCAUUUCCUAGCCAUUAUACGGAUAUAUUUAUUAUAUCUUAUGGUAUUGGGUUUUGAUGCAAGCUUCUUGAUCAAAGUAUCACGAGUUUGUUAUAUAAUCGCAAACAAAUUCUUUAAUGAGAGAUGCAUUUACUGUAUUAUUGAUUUGAAAAUUUGGUAUAACUCCAAUUACUCAGGUAUGAUCCAAUUCAAGGACAUUGCCAGGUAGGGAGUUUGACUGGGGCGGUACAUCUCUCAAAUAAUAACGGAGGUGUCCCAAGGCCAGCUCAGUGCGGACAGAAACCACACAUAGAGCAAAAGGGCAAAUGCUGACUUGA
Molecule: ribosomal RNA, 1403 nt
Filed under: Drosophila ananassae
Lineage: Eukaryota; Metazoa; Arthropoda; Insecta; Diptera; Drosophilidae
Description: eukaryotic LSU rRNA
Rfam family: Eukaryotic large subunit ribosomal RNA
Source: RNAcentral